GAUGAACGCUGGCGGCGUGCCUAAUACAUGCAAGUCGAGCGAACGGACGAGAAUCUUGCUUCUCUGAUGUUAGCGGCGGACGGGUGAGUAACACGUGGAUAACCUACCUAUAAGACUGGGAUAACUUCGGGAAACCGGAGCUAAUACCGGAUAAUAUUUUGAACCGCAUGGUUCAAAAGUGAAAGACGGUCUUGCUGUCACUUAUAGAUGGAUCCGCGCUGCAUUAGCUAGUUGGUAAGGUAACGGCUUACCAAGGCAACGAUGCAUAGCCGACCUGAGAGGCUGAUCGGCCACCCUGGAACUGAGCCACGGUCCAGACUACUACGGGAGGCAGCAGUAGGGAACCUUCCGCAAUGGGCGAAAGCCUGACGGAGCAACGCCGCGUGAGUGAUGAAGGUCUUCGGAUCGUAAAACUCUGUUAUUAGGGAAGAACAUAUGUGUAAGUAACUGUGCACAUAUUGACGGUACCUACUCAGAAAGCCACGGCUAACUACGUG
RNAcentral lists this ribosomal RNA (497 nucleotides) under uncultured bacterium. RNAcentral describes it as "partial 16S ribosomal RNA". It matches the Rfam family "Bacterial small subunit ribosomal RNA", at positions 28 to 507 of the family's 1533-position model. The record is from RNAcentral.